This 548-nucleotide ribosomal RNA is filed under the name uncultured Glomeromycotina. RNAcentral's name for it is "SSU rRNA". It matches the Rfam family "Eukaryotic small subunit ribosomal RNA", at positions 548 to 1098 of the family's 1831-position model. Lineage: Eukaryota; Fungi; Glomeromycota. The record is from RNAcentral.
UUGGAGGGCAAGUCUGGUGCCAGCAGCCGCGGUAAUUCCAGCUCCAAUAGCGUAUAUUAAAGUUGUUGCAGUUAAAAAGCUCGUAGUUGAAUUUCGGGAUCAGAGUGUCGGUCGUGCCUCGGUACGCACUGGUAUUAUUGGUUCCUACCUUCUGAAGAACCGCGAUGUCAUUAAUUUGGUGUCGUGGGGAAUCAGGACUGUUACUUUGAAAAAAUUAGAGUGUUUAAAGCAGGCUUACGCUUGAAUACAUUAGCAUGGAAUAAUGAAAUAGGACGUUUGAUUCUAUUUUGUUGGUUUCUAGGAUUGACGUAAUGAUUAAUAGGGAUAGUUGGGGGCAUUAGUAUUCAAUUGUCAGAGGUGAAAUUCUUGGAUUUAUUGAAGACUAACUACUGCGAAAGCAUUUGCCAAGGAUGUUUUCAUUAAUCAAGAACGAAAGUUAGGGGAUCGAAGACGAUCAGAUGCCGUCGUAGUCUUAACCAUAAACUAUGCCGACUAGGGAUCGGAUGAUGUUAAUUUUUUAAUGACUCAUUCGGCGCCUUACGGGAAAC